GAAAUGCGAUAAGUAAUGUGAAUUGCAGAAUUCAGUGAAUCAUCGAAUCUUUGAACGCACAUUGCGCCCGCCAGUAUUCUGGCGGGCAUGCCUGUUCGAGCGUCAUUUCAACCAUCAAGCCCCGCGCUUGUGUUGGGGACCUGUGGCUGCCGCAGGCCCUGAAAACCAGUGGCGGGCUCGCUGUCACACCGGGCGUAGUAGAUUUUAUCUCGCUCAGGGCGUGCUGCGGGUUCCGGCCGUUAAAAAGCCUUUUUUACCCAAGGUUGACCUCGGAUCAGGUAGGAAGACCCGCUGAACUUAAGC
Molecule: unclassified non-coding RNA, 303 nt
Filed under: plant metagenome
Description: partial contains 5.8S ribosomal RNA, internal transcribed spacer 2, and large subunit ribosomal RNA
Rfam family: 5.8S ribosomal RNA (bases 1-105)
Source: RNAcentral